AAUGAACGCUGGCGGCAUGCCUAACACAUGCAAGUCGAACGAAGCCUUCGGGCUUAGUGGCGCACGGGUGCGUAACGCGUGGGAAUCUGCCCUUGGGUUCGGAAUAACUCGCCGAAAGGCGUGCUAAUACCGGAUGAUGUCGAAAGACCAAAGAUUUAUCGCCCGAGGAUGAGCCCGCGUAGGAUUAGCUAGUUGGUGAGGUAAAAGCUCACCAAGGCGACGAUCCUUAGCUGGUCUGAGAGGAUGAUCAGCCACACUGGGACUGAGACACGGCCCAGACUCCUACGGGAGGCAGCAGUGGGGAAUAUUGGACAAUGGGCGAAAGCCUGAUCCAGCAAUGCCGCGUGAGUGAUGAAGGCCUUAGGGUUGUAAAGCUCUUUUACCCGGGAUGAU
RNAcentral lists this ribosomal RNA (393 nucleotides) under Sphingomonas sp. Its description in RNAcentral is "bacterial SSU rRNA". It matches the Rfam family "Bacterial small subunit ribosomal RNA", at positions 29 to 449 of the family's 1533-position model. The record is from RNAcentral. Lineage: Bacteria; Pseudomonadati; Pseudomonadota; Alphaproteobacteria; Sphingomonadales; Sphingomonadaceae.